This 72-nucleotide transfer RNA is filed under the name Phrynosoma platyrhinos (Desert horned lizard). RNAcentral describes it as "tRNA-OTHER". The record is from RNAcentral. Lineage: Eukaryota; Metazoa; Chordata; Lepidosauria; Squamata; Phrynosomatidae.
GGCAGCAUGGCCUAGUGGUUUGAGCACUGGACUACAGCUCUGGAGGCCAGGGUUUGAUUCUCUGCUUGGUCA